UACGUAGGGCGCAAGCGUUAUCCGGAAUUAUUGGGCGUAAAGAGCUCGUAGGCGGUUUGUCGCGUCUGCUGUGAAAGACCGGGGCUCAACUCCGGUUCUGCAGUGGGUACGGGCAGACUAGAGUGCAGUAGGGGAGACUGGAAUUCCUGGUGUAGCGGUGAAAUGCGCAGAUAUCAGGAAGAACACCGAUGGCGAAGGCAGGUCUCUGGGCUGUAACUGACGCUGAGGAGCGAAAGCAUGGGGAGCGAACAGG
RNAcentral lists this ribosomal RNA (253 nucleotides) under uncultured bacterium. Its description in RNAcentral is "partial 16S ribosomal RNA". It matches the Rfam family "Bacterial small subunit ribosomal RNA", at positions 524 to 776 of the family's 1533-position model. The record is from RNAcentral.